GAUGAACGCUGGCGGCGUGCCUAAUACAUGCAAGUCGAGCGAACAGACGAGGAGCUUGCUCCUCUGACGUUAGCGGCGGACGGGUGAGUAACACGUGGAUAACCUACCUAUAAGACUGGGAUAACUUCGGGAAACCGGAGCUAAUACCGGAUAAUAUAUUGAACCGCAUGGUUCAAUAGUGAAAGACGGUUUUGCUGUCACUUAUAGAUGGAUCCGCGCCGCAUUAGCUAGUUGGUAAGGUAACGGCUUACCAAGGCAACGAUGCGUAGCCGACCUGAGAGGGUGAUCGGCCACACUGGAACUGAGACACGGUCCAGACUCCUACGGGAGGCAGCAGUAGGGAAUCUUCCGCAAUGGGCGAAGGCCUGACGGAGCAACGCCGCGUGAGUGAUGAAGGUCUUCGGAUCGUAAAACUCUUUUAUUAGGGAAGAACAAAUGUGUAAGUAACUAUGCACGUCUUGACGGUACCUAAUCAGAAAGCCACGGCUAACUACGUG
This 497-nucleotide ribosomal RNA is filed under the name uncultured bacterium. RNAcentral describes it as "partial 16S ribosomal RNA". It matches the Rfam family "Bacterial small subunit ribosomal RNA", at positions 28 to 507 of the family's 1533-position model. The record is from RNAcentral.